CCUACGGGUGGCUGCAGUGGGGAAUCUUGCACAAUGGGGGAAACCCUGAUGCAGCAACGCCGCGUGAGCGAUGAAGUCUUUCGGUAUGUAAAGCUCUAUCAGCAGGGAAGAAGGUGACGGUACCUGACUAGAAAGCCCCGGCUAACUACGUGCCAGCAGCCGCGGUAAUACGUAGGGGGCAAGGGUUAUCCGGAUUUAAUGGGGGUAAAGGGGGCGGAGACUGCGAUGCAAGCCAGAUGUGAAAGCCUGGGGCUCAACCCCGGGACUGCAUUUGGAACUGUGUGGCUGGAGUGUCGGAGAGGCAGGCGGAAUUCCUAGUGCAGCGGUGAAAUGCGUAGAUAUUAGGAGGAACACCAGUGGCGAAGGCGGCCUGCUGGACGAUGACUGACGCUGAGGCUCGAAAGCGUGGGGAGCAAACAGGAUUAGAUACCCGAGUAGUC
Molecule: ribosomal RNA, 440 nt
Filed under: uncultured bacterium
Lineage: Bacteria
Description: partial 16S ribosomal RNA
Rfam family: Bacterial small subunit ribosomal RNA
Source: RNAcentral